GUUGGUAUCGGAGGGGUUAAUUUUUAAAAGAGUUUAGCGCAGCGGAUUAAAACACAGAGAGCGUAAAGCGUAAUAAGUCACAGUUGAAACGAAAUUAGCCUUUUUACCAAGCAGAUUACGUGCGUUAAAAAUAAAAUGAGUGUAGGGCAAAAGAAAAACACACAAGGAUUUUUAUACUGGUUCGAUUCAACAGAAUCUACGUCCAGUCGUUAAUCACUACAAAGAGUGAUUAACAGUUCCACUAAAAAGAGAUUUAACAGAUUACAAUAAAAGGUACAUAAAUAGAAUGAAGGAAACCACUAUACCAACUUGAAGAGAACCUGCACCAGUAAUCGACACACGAUUCACGUGCUUCUCCUUUCACAAGACCAGGUAGAGAGCCUUGCCAACUUGAAGAGAGUCCACUUCGACUAUCGGCACACGAUACGUAAGCCUCUCCUUUCACAAGACCAGGCAAGGGAACAAAGUAAACAAAAAGCUCUCAAGAACGUUCCUCUGAC
This 500-nucleotide long non-coding RNA is filed under the name Vigna radiata. RNAcentral's name for it is "long non-coding RNA (VRAD_LNC014731)". Lineage: Eukaryota; Viridiplantae; Streptophyta; Magnoliopsida; Fabales; Fabaceae. The record is from RNAcentral.